CGGGGACAACGUUCCGAAAGGGACGCUAAUACCGCAUAAGUUCUCUGAGACUCCGGUCUUGGAGAGGAAAGCUAGGUAGGUCGCAAGACUUGUCUGGCACUCGAGGAGGAGCCUGCGUCGCAUCAGCUAGUUGGUGGGGUAACGGCCUACCAAGGCGAAGACGCGUAGCUGGUCUGAGAGGAUGAUCAGCCACACUGGGACUGAGACACGGCCCAG
This 216-nucleotide ribosomal RNA is filed under the name uncultured bacterium. RNAcentral describes it as "partial 16S ribosomal RNA". It matches the Rfam family "Bacterial small subunit ribosomal RNA", at positions 138 to 334 of the family's 1533-position model. The record is from RNAcentral.